Astatotilapia calliptera (eastern happy) is the source of this 1116-nucleotide long non-coding RNA. The record is from Ensembl. NCBI's taxonomy places the organism in Eukaryota, Metazoa, Chordata, Actinopteri, Cichliformes, Cichlidae.
UUCCACAAGUGGACACCUUUUUGACUCCAGAUUUCCACAGUCCUGCGACUCGGGAGUAGAUUAAAAGCGGGCAGCUCGGUAUAUAUCCGGCAUUUGUUUCUCUGUCAAUGCCUUAAUUUUCAUUGAGUUUCGGUCGUGGCUCUGAUUAUAUCGUCACUGGAGGCCCGAGAAUGUAAUCUGUCCUCAAGUUUUAGGUCUUUGCUACAAACGGCAAAUUAGGCUUAAAACGAGUCAACAAUCUGUACGAUCAGCAAUCCAAAGCCAUAAAACGAUCUCAAAACUAGUGACUCGGAGAUCAGGUGCAGCACUUGUGAGAUUAAACGUUUUUUGUUGUUUCUUUUUUUUUUUUUGCAACAAAUAGUGUUUGAUGUCAAAGCGAAAAAACAAAGAAAAAAAGCAAAACAAAAAAAAACAAAAAAAAAAACAAGUGUAUUGCGGUCUUGGGAGUGUGUUUUCACAUCAAGUCUGAGGCUGCAGUAAACGUCAGUCCUGGAUGUGUACAGGACCCACUCGAACCUAGUCCCUGGUUCAGAAGCACAUUCGAUUGUUUUCCGACUGUCCUCGUUCGCAGGUUAAAGUGUUCUUUCUACGUUCAGGUCCUGAAUUGGCACCCAUCUGUAGCUACUGUCAUUUUCUGAUUGGAACUUAAAAAAAAACAAACCUCUGUUUAUAUCAACCUAACGCUGUUAGCGGUAGGGUCAGAUAGCGGCUCAUAGUUCACAGCACUGAGGGCUUGAAUGACGUUCCUAUCAUCUUCCCGCAGGAGCCACAUGGCAUAAGGCUAUGAAUUUCUCCUCACUCAUUCAUUCUACAACUUCUGUUCUCUUUCUGAUGUCUUUUUUUUUGUUUGUUUUUCUUUCAAUCUACCUUCAGUUGUACUGGCAAUGUAAAUGUAAGCCAAGUUGUGAUUCCUACAGGAGACCAAGUGGAGAAGAUUUUGUCAGUAGUAUGGAAAAGGAACACUGAACUCUUGAAUCUUUUUGCAUGUUGUGGAAAAGUGCGAAGCGGUGAUGAUGAUGAUGGUGGUAAUGGCAAUAUUGUGGUCUUACAAAAAAAAAAGUAUUAACAACGAUGUUGAUAAUGUUUUUGGUUUCCCAGCUUCUAAUAAAGGCAACC